Molecule: long non-coding RNA, 2808 nt
Filed under: Gallus gallus (chicken)
Lineage: Eukaryota; Metazoa; Chordata; Aves; Galliformes; Phasianidae
Source: RNAcentral
CUUAGUUUUCCAUAACUGCUAGUUUGCAAAUGGGCUUUGGUUUGGGCCCAUUUCCUUAGCACAGACGUGGCCCUGUGUAUAUGAUUCUGGCAGACUGCUGCUCUGCAGUAUGCUUUGGUUUCCAUCAGACCUUGGGAAGUUCUUCUGAGCACCUGUGAAGUUCAGUCCUGUCUACGCCGAGCAGGACUGCAGACACAGCUCUGCUGGGUCCUUCCCUCCAAGUGCUUGGGUGAGACACAGGCUGAGCUCUUGCAGACUGAGUUUAUAACAUCUGGUGUAGCUCUGCAUUGUGGACACCUCGCUGGAGCCUCCAGGGUCAGCUGAUGGACUGAGAAACCCCGUGAAGCACAGUGUCUUCUGGAACCACGGGGAAUGGCAUGGUACAGGAUGGAAGGGGAAGGCAGACAGUAGAUUGGGAAGCUGUGGAAGAGGAAAUGCAUUAAGUUCAAUUCAGCAGAGCAAGCACUUAGAGAAGCAAAAGGAACAAAUCACAGCCUCAGAAACGGAGUUUGGCUGCUUAUCAGGUUUUUACACAAAUGAUCUCUGUGCCUGAAGUCUGAGCAAUUCUUCUGAAGGAACAACAGAAGUUAGAAAUCUGAUUUAGCCUGACAAGCCGAAUGAAGCUUGGUGGAACUGAACAUAUAAAAGAUGAUAAUUACUGAGGACUUUUCAGAGAACUCACAAGAAUCCGUCCAGAAGGCUCACUCUGUACCAAAACAAGUGUCAAAAUAGAUAAGUGAAACUUCAUGGUCAGGAAAACCCCAUUCACUGGGAAGGUCAGUGUCACAAGAGUAUUUUUCCCUAUGGAGAAUUUGCUCUUCAAAAAUAUGAUGAGAUAAAACAUUACUGGUACCAUGUUAUAUUACUUUUGCUGAAAUGGGAACUGCGUGGGUGGCUGACAAACUUGAGGGAGUGAACAUGCAUCUGACUAAUACUGUCUUUAUCUUAUCUUUUCUGUGGGCUAAAAAGCAGCAUUGGGAAACACUUAUGGAAUGGUCUUUUCCUCAUGGCUCUUUAACUUGAUUAUAUCCUUAUUUACUAUUUAUAUCCUUCAAGUUUUCCUUUAUUAUAUCAGAAUGCAAUGCAUGAUUCAAUGGAUUGAAGGUAAAUAAGCAGUAGUAAUAAUUAAUCAGAAGCCCAGUGAUUUUUCUUUAAAUAUUUAUGUUUGCAAGGCACUGAAUCAGGUUCUCAUCAAGGAGUAGAUUUUUAUAGCAUGAAUAAGAUAAAGUGAGUAACAUUUCUUCCUGUUAAUCUAAGUCCUUCUAAUGUAUUUAUCCUGAGUACAACAAAGCAAGUGCUGCACAUUGAUACUUAGCUCUGUUUACCCACAUGGAUGCUUUUGAUAAACUUCCCAUGAAGCCCUCUUUGGUGUUGGGAGAGUAACUUUUUGCCAUGGGUUUUUCCAAAACAAAAUAAAAGUUUAUGGGAAAGAUCAGCUGACCAGUGCAUCUGAAACUUGUGUAGUUUCCUUUCUGCCUCAAGGAGGACUUGCAGAUUACAUUUGAUCGGUGAAACCUGAGUUCAAGACCUCACCCAGAGUGUUGAAACUCUUUGGCAAACCUAAGUAACAUCUGCAAGACCUUGUGAGGAUGUUAUGUAUAGCUGCAAUGAGCUCAACACACGUUGAUCUCUGAUCAGAAUUACAGUUUUUUUUUUAACUAUUUCAACAGGAUGUAGUGCACCAGUAAAGAAGAAAAUUGUGAUAUAUGCUAAAGUUUGCUAGACUAUAUACUCGCAUACAUAAAAAUAAUUAUACCAUAUAUGUAUGUGUAUGUAUGUGUGUAUAAAUAACUUUAUUUUGUUUUCAAAUAACUAUCUUAGAUCUCAAUCCCAGUCUUACUGUAUGCAGUAGGAAUUGCUCAGUGAAUAAUAAGAACAUAGCAAAAUAAUUACAAAAAAAAAAACCUAACAAAACAAAAAAAACCCAUCAGAUCAUACUUCUAAUGCUGUGUGAUUUUAAAGCUCAGUUUGUUUGUAAAGAUUCAGUAGAUUUAAAGCAUAAUAUUAUUUGUUUAUUUUGCCGUUACUAAUUACAAUUAAUUUUUUUAAAAUUUAAUUUAAUUUUAUUUAAAAUUAAUUUUAUUAAAAUUAAAUAAUUAAAGACAUUUGUAUAAAACAGAAAAAAAUAAAACAAAGUUCAUCACAACAAUCUUUGAUUUACAAAACUAUUUUCCAUGUGUCUUCUUUUUUUUUUUUUUUUUUUUUUUCCCAUGGGGAUUUUUCUAAUCUCUCAUAUAACCAUUAAAUUAAGUAAAAUCUUCUCAGAUUUAUGAGAAAUCUGUGGAAAUCUGUGUAACUUCAAGGAAGGAUUGGAAACUGAAAUUUCUCACCCUUGGAAAUUUUUGACGCUUCAAUAGUAUAAUAUACAGGCAAAUAAGAAAUAAAAUGCUUUCACAAACUUCAAAAAUCUUAGUUGAAAAAAAUAAUUUUCUAAAUUAUUGAAGGUCACUUCACCACUGGAUGAUAUUUGCUUGAACUUACAUAUCGUGUAAGGAGGCUUAAAAUUUAUGUGUUUUAUCUUUUUGGUAAGAUCUAUUUGCCUCGUUUCUUGGGCAGGCAUCAUGAAUGAUAAUAUACUACAGUCAUGGGGCUUUCAGCCUGUUCUUCAGGUGGGGAGUUCAAAAUAAGUUAUGAAAAGUAGCAUGAAUAGGAAUCUUGUCUUCUUAAGAUUUAUGGCUCCCACUAUAAAUAUAAAAUUGAUCUAAAAGCAAGUAAGCAAUUUAGAAGUGAGUCAGCACUGCUCCUGAAAUCUCUGCCGUUUUGUGUGUCCUCUCUCCUCCACACUCCCUACUGGCUCCCACCUCCAGA